GGAGCAGGACAGACGAUCGCUGCCGCUGCACGGCGGUGGAGGAAAGUCCGGGCUCCGCAGGGCAAGGCGCUGGAUAACGUCCAGCGGGGGCGACCCCAGGGAAAGUGCCACAGAGAGAAGUCCGCCUGUCACGACAGGUAAGGGUGAAAGGGUGAGGUAAGAGCUCACCGGGUUCGGCGGUGACGUCGAAUGCCAGGUAAACCCCGCCAGGAGCAAGAUCGAAUAGGGAGACGUCAAGGGUGGCCCGCCCGUGUCUCCGGGUUGAUCGCUCGAGGUCGUCGGUAACGGCGAUCCCAGAUGAAUGAUCGUCACCCGCUGACGGGUAACCGUCCGCGGGAACAGAACCCGGCUUACGGACUGCUCCAGCC
Molecule: RNase P RNA, 368 nt
Filed under: Trichlorobacter ammonificans
Lineage: Bacteria; Pseudomonadati; Thermodesulfobacteriota; Desulfuromonadia; Geobacterales; Geobacteraceae
Description: Trichlorobacter sp. G1 RNaseP_bact_a
Rfam family: Bacterial RNase P class A
About the family: Ribonuclease P (RNase P) is a ubiquitous endoribonuclease, found in archaea, bacteria and eukarya as well as chloroplasts and mitochondria. Its best characterised activity is the generation of mature 5'-ends of tRNAs by cleaving the 5'-leader elements of precursor-tRNAs.
Source: RNAcentral